RNAcentral lists this ribosomal RNA (588 nucleotides) under Triticum aestivum (bread wheat). RNAcentral's name for it is "partial small subunit ribosomal RNA". The record is from RNAcentral. Lineage: Eukaryota; Viridiplantae; Streptophyta; Magnoliopsida; Poales; Poaceae.
AUGCACUCGUGGUGUGGCUAUGAAGACACACGUCAGCAACAGACUCACACGUGUUCACACGUCCACUCAUACAAGAUUUUACUGUACAUCCAUCUCCGCUAUAAAAAGGCUUCUUUCCCCCUCAGCAACUCUCACCGUGGCAACGUCCAGAUGGAGCCCAAUAAGUAUGCCAAGCCUCUGUCCCCAAAGCCACUCUCUCCACCAGAACCAUUCGUGCCCGACUACCUCGACUACCCCGAUAGCUCACCUAUCUCUCCCUCCUUUCCAGCCAAAAGGAAGCCCUCACCACUGAUCCACCAACUUGAAUCAUCCGACGAUGAGGAAGCCAACCCACAGACCAAGCUCAAUGAAGCCUAUGAAGACAAAGCCUUUCAGCAGGAAAAAGACGAUGACCUCUCUUGGCUAGAAGAAAUAGAUCAGUUGAGAGGCCAAAGUUACCCACCAGCAAGAAGGUUCAAGGCAGGAGAGCUUCAACCACGUAUGAAGAAAAGCAAGACCAUCAACAAGGUGGCAAAGAAAGGUACAAGUGCUGAAGAAGCAAUCGAGAUCUCAUCUUCCGACGACGACUACACCGACGGAAAGGAGUGA